AUUCUAAUCUAGGGGAUGCCACUGAGUCCGCUGGAUCCAGGGCAGGAGCCACAGCAUCAGAGCAGGAGGGAAGAGUACACCCUGUGACCAGGAAUUAAGCCACCUUCCUCCUGGAAGCCACACCCUCCUGGCCAGAAGUCUCCAUAAAUGUUUGCUGGAUGUACCAAAUGAAGAGAGCUUAUGACAGAAGGAAACGUUUGAAGCAAGGAAAGAGAAAAAGAGGAGAAAAACACUUCAUCCAAAAUUGCAAAUCAGAGAAAUGGCCACAGACUUGUUUUGUGUCAUCCGUUUGGUGUUUGCAUCAGUCAUGGUGGACUCAUCCUGGAUUACCCAGGUGGACUCUAACCUCAAGGACAAGUAUCCUUAGAAGAGAAGGAUGAGAAGAAGAUGAAGACACAGGCACAGAGGAAGCUGGAGGCAGAGGUUAGGGUUACGUAGCCAUGAGCUAAGAAAGCCAGCAGCCACCAGGAGCUGGAGGAGGCCAGCAAGGCUUCUCCUCUAGAGCCUCUGGAGGGAAUCCAGCCCUGCUGACACCUUGAUUUUUGGACUUCUGGCCUCCAGACUAAGAG
Long non-coding RNA from Bos taurus (domestic cattle), 569 nucleotides. Lineage: Eukaryota; Metazoa; Chordata; Mammalia; Artiodactyla; Bovidae. The record is from Ensembl.